Long non-coding RNA from Octopus sinensis (East Asian common octopus), 140 nucleotides. RefSeq lists it as uncharacterized. The record is from RefSeq and is a predicted model, not a curated record. The transcript is spliced from 4 exons. Lineage: Eukaryota; Metazoa; Mollusca; Cephalopoda; Octopoda; Octopodidae.
CAUUCAAUGAGGAUUGGUUUGUGAGUAAUAGUGGCAGUUGUGAAAACAGAUAAAAAAAGAGAAUGUUAGCAAUUUCACAUAUUGCAGGAUGGUGCAUGACUUUAUGGCCACCCUGUACAUAUAAAUAAAUACUUUGUUCU